Syngnathus typhle (broad-nosed pipefish) is the source of this 591-nucleotide long non-coding RNA. RefSeq lists it as uncharacterized. NCBI's taxonomy places the organism in Eukaryota, Metazoa, Chordata, Actinopteri, Syngnathiformes, Syngnathidae. The record is from RefSeq and is a predicted model, not a curated record. The transcript has 2 exons.
GUGCACAUUCCAGAGACGUGAAGUAUAUUUCUUUGUCCGUCUUUCCAAAUGCAACGGGUCAAACGUCCGCAAAUUUUCGACAGCUACCUAAUGCGACGCUCCGCCCACCACAACACGAACUAGUGUCGGCUCUUCACAUGACUUCAACCAGUAGAUGUCAGUAAUGUGCAUUGAAGCUGGUGCUACCUCGCCAUGAAACAAAGCGAAGAAGAAAAUGACGUAACUUCCCGUUCACCAACGAACGAAUCAGUGAGUGAACAAAUCAGUGAGUGAUUUGCAUUUCCGUUUCAUCGCGAGAACGGAUCAGUGAGGGUUACUGACUUUCCCGACUUCCUGUUGGCAAACGAGUCAAUGGGUGAACUGCCUUCCCGUGCAUCAACGGAUCUGUCAGUGGAUUGCGUCUCCUGGCGUGAACUAUGUAAACCAGAAUGUAGAUUUAUGAUUUACUUAUUGUAGUUUUUAAAUAACGUGUAUGCAUAUAUACUCCUAAAUAUUGUUAUCCAGUAUAUCUACUGCAAUUUCACAUUAGAUUGCUGGUUAGAAAUUUACUUUUGAUAUUAUUAUUAUUUAUAAUAAACAUGUAUGUUAAAA